CUGGGGAGUACGGUCGCAAGAUUAAAACUCAAAGGAAUUGACGGGGACCCGCACAAGCGGUGGAUGAUGUGGAUUAAUUCGAUGCAACGCGAAAAACCUUACCUACCCUUGACAUGUCCGGAAUCCUGCAGAGAUGCGGGAGUGCCCGAAAGGGAAUCGGAACACAGGUGCUGCAUGGCUGUCGUCAGCUCGUGUCGUGAGAUGUUGGGUUAAGUCCCGCAACGAGCGCAACCCUUAUCAUUAGUUGCUACGCAAGGGCACUCUAAUGAGACUGCCGGUGACAAACCGGAGGAAGGUGGGGAUGACGUCAAGUCCUCAUGGCCCUUAUGGGUAGGGCUUCACACGUCAUACAAUGGUCGGUACAGAGGGUUGCCAAGCCGCGAGGUGGAGCCAAUCCCAGAAAGCCGAUCGUAGUCCGGAUUGUUCUCUGCAACUCGAGAGCAUGAAGUCGGAAUCGCUAGUAAUCGCGGAUCAGCAUGUCGCGGUGAAUACGUUCCCGGGUCUUGUACACACCGCCCGUCACACCAUGGGAGUGGAAUCUGCCAGAAGUAGGUAGCCUAACCGCAAGGGGGG
This 573-nucleotide ribosomal RNA is filed under the name uncultured bacterium. Its description in RNAcentral is "bacterial SSU rRNA". It matches the Rfam family "Bacterial small subunit ribosomal RNA", at positions 873 to 1450 of the family's 1533-position model. The record is from RNAcentral.